This 496-nucleotide ribosomal RNA is filed under the name uncultured bacterium. RNAcentral describes it as "partial 16S ribosomal RNA". It matches the Rfam family "Bacterial small subunit ribosomal RNA", at positions 28 to 506 of the family's 1533-position model. The record is from RNAcentral.
GAUGAACGCUGGCGGCGUGCCUAAUACAUGCAAGUCGAGCGAACAGACGAGGAGCUUGCUCCUCUGACGUUAGCGGCGGACGGGUGAGUAACACGUGGAUAACCUACCUAUAAGACUGGGAUAACUUCGGGAAACCGGAGCUAAUACCGGAUAACAUGUUGAACCGCAUGGUUCAACAGUGAAAGACGGUCUUGCUGUCACUUAUAGAUGGAUCCGCGCCGCAUUAGCUAGUUGGUAAGGUAACGGCUUACCAAGGCAACGAUGCGUAGCCGACCUGAGAGGGGAAACGGCCACCCUGGAACUGGGACACGGUCCAGACCCCUACGGGGGGCAGCAGGAGGGAAUCUUCGGAAAGGGGCGAAAGCCUAACGGGGCAACGCCGGGGGGGGGAAAAAGGUCUUCGGAUCGUAAAACUCUUUUAUUAGGGAAGAAAAAAUGUGUAAGUAACUAUGCACGUUUUGACGGUACCAAAUCAGAAAGCCACGGCUAACUACGU